Molecule: ribosomal RNA, 497 nt
Filed under: uncultured bacterium
Lineage: Bacteria
Description: partial 16S ribosomal RNA
Rfam family: Bacterial small subunit ribosomal RNA
Source: RNAcentral
GAUGAACGCUGGCGGCGUGCCUAAUACAUGCAAGUCGAGCGAACGGACGAGAAGCUUGCUUUUCUGAUGUUAGCGGCGGACGGGUGAGUAACACGUGGAUAACCUAUCUAUAAGACUGGGAUAACUUCGGGAAACCGGAGCUAAUACCGGAUAAUAGUUUGAACCGCAGGGUUCAAAAGUGAAAGACGGUCUUGCUGUCACUUAUAGAUGGAUCCGCGCUGCAUUAGCUAGUUGGUAAGGUAACGGCUUACCAAGGCAACGAUGCAUAGCCGACCUGAGAGGGUGAUCGGCCACACUGGAACUGAGACACGGUCCAGACUCCUACGGGAGGCAGCAGUAGGGAAUCUUCCGCAAUGGGCGAAAGCCUGACGGAGCAACGCCGCGUGAGUGAUGAAGGUCUUCGGAUCGUAAAACUCUGUUAUUAGGGAAGAACAUAUGUGUAAGUAACUGUGCACAUCUUGACGGUACCUAAUCAGAAAGCCACGGCUAACUACGUG